This 212-nucleotide long non-coding RNA is filed under the name Elaeis guineensis (African oil palm). Its description in RNAcentral is "long non-coding RNA (EGUI_LNC068584)". The record is from RNAcentral. Lineage: Eukaryota; Viridiplantae; Streptophyta; Magnoliopsida; Arecales; Arecaceae.
UCUCCCCAGCCAUCAACCUUCAGUAGCGUCAGCCAGACUUCAACAAUGCCAACCGGACUUUCACAGGAUCCUCCAAACUCCUCCAGCGGACGAACCUCCACAAUGCCAUCCGAAGUCCACUACCGGUCGACCCUCUAUCGGAUUCUUCAUAAAAUUGGACUUCCCCAAUAGAAAGUCUCCGACCGAGCUUCCACAGCAGAUGACUCCCGCCU